RNAcentral lists this ribosomal RNA (405 nucleotides) under Babesia gibsoni. RNAcentral's name for it is "SSU rRNA". It matches the Rfam family "Eukaryotic small subunit ribosomal RNA", at positions 440 to 901 of the family's 1831-position model. Lineage: Eukaryota; Apicomplexa; Aconoidasida; Piroplasmida; Babesiidae. The record is from RNAcentral.
AUUACCCAAUCCGGACACAGGGAGGUAGUGACAAGAAAUAACAAUACAGGGCAAUUGUCUUGUAAUUGGAAUGAUGGUGACGUAAAAUCUCACCAGAGUAACAAUUGGAGGGCAAGUCUGGUGCCAGCAGCCGCGGUAAUUCCAGCUCCAAUAGCGUAUAUUAAACUUGUUGCAGUUAAAAAGCUCGUAGUUGAAUUUCUGCGUUGCCCGACUCGGCUACUUGCCUUGUCUGGUUUCGCUUUUGGGAUUUUCCCCUUUUUACUUUGAGAAAAUUAGAGUGUUUCAAGCAGACUUGUGUCUUGAAUACUUCAGCAUGGAAUAAUAAAGUAGGACUUUGGUUCUAUUUUGUUGGUUUGUGAACCUUAGUAAUGGUUAAUAGGAACGGUUGGGGGCAUUCGUAUUUAA